RNAcentral lists this ribosomal RNA (793 nucleotides) under uncultured Rubrobacteria bacterium. RNAcentral's name for it is "bacterial SSU rRNA". It matches the Rfam family "Bacterial small subunit ribosomal RNA", at positions 8 to 796 of the family's 1533-position model. The record is from RNAcentral. Lineage: Bacteria; Bacillati; Actinomycetota; Rubrobacteria.
AGAGUUUGAUCAUGGCUCAGGAUCAACGCUGGCGGCGUGCCUAACGCAUGUAAGUCGCACGCAGGUCCUUCGGGGAUGCCGCGCGGCGGACGGGUGCGUAACACGUGGGCAACCUGCCCUGGGGUGGGGGAUAGCCGUGGGAAACCGCGGGUAAUUCCGCAUACGUUCUGGUCUCGAGAGGGGGCCAGAAGAAAGGGCGCAAGCCCGCCCGAGGAGGGGCCUGCGGCCGAUUAGCUAGUUGGUGGGGUCAUGGCUUACCAAGGCAGUGAUCGGUAGCUGGUCUGAGAGGACGGCCAGCCACACGGGGACUGAGACACGGCCCAGACUCCUACGGGAGGCAGCAGUGGGGAAUCUUGCGCAAUGCGCGAAAGCGUGACGCAGCAACGCCGCGUGGGGGAAGAAGGCCUUCGGGUUGUAAACCCCUUUCAGGAGGGACGAAGCGUGGACGGUGAAUAGCCGAUUUACGUGACGGUACCUCCAGAAGAAGCCCCGGCUAACUACGUGCCAGCAGCCGCGGUAAUACGUAGGGUCCGAGCGUUGUCCGGAUUUAUUGGGCGUAAAGAGCUCGUAGGCGGCUUGUCGCGUCGACUGUGAAAGUCCGGGGCUCAACUCCGGAUCUGCGGUGGGUACGGGCAGACUAGAGUGAUGUAGGGGAGACUGGAAUUCCUGGUGUAGCGGUGAAAUGCGCAGAUAUCGGGAGGAACACCAGUAGCGAAGGCGGCUCGCUGGGCCAUACCUGACGCUGAGACGCGAAAGCGUGGGGAGCAAACAGGAUUAGAUACCCCCGUAGUCC